GAUGAACGCUGGCGGCGUGCCUAAUACAUGCAAGUCGAGCGAGCAGACGAGGAGCUUGCUCCUCUGACGUUAGCGGCGGACGGGUGAGUAACACGUGGAUAACCUACCUAUAAGACUGGGAUAACUUCGGGAAACCGGAGCUAAUACCGGAUAAUAUAUUGAACCGCAUAGUUCAAUAGUGAAAGACGGUUUUGCUGUCACUUAUAGAUGGAUCCGCGCCGCAUUAGCUAGUUGGUAAGGUAACGGCUUACCAAGGCAACGAUGCGUAGCCGACCUGAGAGGGUGAUCGGCCACACUGGAACUGAGACACGGUCCAGACUCCUACGGGAGGCAGCAGUAGUGAAUCUUCCGCAAAGGGCGAAAGCCUGACGGAGCAACGCCGCGUGAGUGAUGAAGGUCUUCGGAUCGUAAAACUCUGUUAUUAGGGAAGAACAAAUGUGUAAGUAACUAUGCACGUCUUGACGGUACCUAAUCAGAAAGCCACGGCUAACUACGUG
RNAcentral lists this ribosomal RNA (497 nucleotides) under uncultured bacterium. Its description in RNAcentral is "partial 16S ribosomal RNA". It matches the Rfam family "Bacterial small subunit ribosomal RNA", at positions 28 to 507 of the family's 1533-position model. The record is from RNAcentral.